Molecule: ribosomal RNA, 602 nt
Filed under: uncultured rumen bacterium
Lineage: Bacteria
Description: bacterial SSU rRNA
Rfam family: Bacterial small subunit ribosomal RNA
Source: RNAcentral
ACACAUGCAAGUCGAGGGGCAGCGCGGGUAGCAAUACCUGGCGGCGACCGGCGAAAGGGUGAGUAACGCGUGAGCAACAUGCCCGUAUGUGGGGGAUAGUCGAUGGAAACGUCGCGUAAUACCCCGUAAUAUAAAUUCUCGCAUGGGAGUUUAUUGAAAGAUUCAUUGCAUACGGAUUGGCUCGCGUACCAUUAGGUAGACGGCGGGGUAACGGCCCACCGUGCCGACGAUGGUUAGGGGUUCUGAGAGGAAGGUCCCCCACAUUGGAACUGAGACACGGUCCAGACUCCUACGGGAGGCAGCAGUGGGGAAUAUUGGACAAUGGCCGGAAGGCUGAUCCAGCCAUGCCGCGUGCGGGAGGACGGCCCUAUGGGUUGUAAAACCGCUUUUGUACGGGAGCAAUAAGGGUCACGUGUGACCUGAUGAGAGUACCGUACGAAUAAGCAUCGGCUAACUCCGUGCCAGCAGCCGCGGUAAUACGGAGGAUGCAAGCGUUAUCCGGAUUUAUUGGGUUUAAAGGGUGCGUAUGCGGCUUGGUAAGCGGGAGGUGAAAUGCCGGCGCUCAACGUCGGAAGUGCCUCCCCAACUGUCGGGCUUGAAUG